The sequence is a small nucleolar RNA, 127 nucleotides long. Its record names the gene SNORD22. It matches the Rfam family "Small nucleolar RNA SNORD22". Rfam says of the family: U22 is a member of the C/D class of snoRNA which contain the C (UGAUGA) and D (CUGA) box motifs. U22 is encoded within the U22 snoRNA host gene (UHG) in mammals and has also been identified in Xenopus. U22 is thought to as a 2'-O-ribose methylation guide for ribosomal RNA. The record is from Ensembl.
UCAUUAUGAUGAAGCUCGCACACGUCUUACACCCAGUCAACUCCAGAACCUGAAAAGGUGAACCCACUGGAGUUGCCUGGGUAAGCAAGGAGAUGACUUGUUGGGGUUACCAACUGUCUGAUAUGAC